RNAcentral lists this ribosomal RNA (407 nucleotides) under uncultured prokaryote. RNAcentral's name for it is "bacterial SSU rRNA". It matches the Rfam family "Bacterial small subunit ribosomal RNA", at positions 355 to 776 of the family's 1533-position model. RNAcentral also lists the same sequence under 1 other name. The record is from RNAcentral.
UGGGGAAUAUUGCGCAAUGGGGGAAACCCUGACGCAGCAACGCCGCGUGAAGGAUGAAGGUUUUCGGAUUGUAAACUUCUUUGAUGAGGGACGAACACAAUGACGGUACCUCAAAAACAAGCCACGGCUAACUACGUGCCAGCAGCCGCGGUAAUACGUAGGUGGCAAGCGUUGUCCGGAUUUACUGGGUGUAAAGGGCGUGUAGACGGGUUUGAAAGUCAGGUGUGAAAUACCGCAGCUUAACUGCGGGGCUGCAUUUGAAACUUCAAAUCUUGAGUGUGGGAGAGGAAAGCGGAAUUCCUAGUGUAGCGGUGAAAUGCGUAGAUAUUAGGAGGAACACCAGUGGCGAAGGCGGCUUUCUGGACCAUAACUGACGUUGAGGCGCGAAAGCGUGGGGAGCAAACAGG